RNAcentral lists this ribosomal RNA (311 nucleotides) under uncultured bacterium. Its description in RNAcentral is "bacterial SSU rRNA". It matches the Rfam family "Bacterial small subunit ribosomal RNA", at positions 28 to 334 of the family's 1533-position model. The record is from RNAcentral.
GAUGAACGCUAGCGGCAGGCUUAACACAUGCAAGUCGAGGGGCAGCGUAGAUUGCUUGCAAUCUGACGGCGACCGGCGAACGGGUGCGUAACGCGUAUAGAACCUACCUUUUACAGAGGGAUACCCCAUGGAAACGUGGACUAAUACCUCAUGGUACAUUUGAGUGGCAUCACUUAAAUAUUAAAGAUCUAUCGGUACAAGAUGAGCAUGCGUCCCAUUAGUUAGUUGGUAAGGUAACGGCUUACCAAGACAAUGAUGGGUAGGGGUCCUGAGAGGGAGAUCCCCCACACUGGUACUGAGACACGGACCAG